AUUUGUAGUUAAAUAGGUUGCUCCUAUAUUAUCACACCGUAAAGUUGGUGGAGUGGAUGCAAGGUGGCCGAUCUCAUGAAGAAGAUAUGUUAACCAUAUAACCUCUGAAAUGGCAGCGCCUAUUGCCUGAUACUCGGCUUUAGUGGAUGAUUUGGCCACUGUUGCUUGGCGUUUGGUGCUCCAAGAUACCAGAUUUUUCCCUAUAAAAAUAGUAUAUCCGGUGAUUGACUUUCGAUUGUCAAUAUUGCUAGCCCAAUCAGCGUCCGAGCAUGCAUUUAUAGUAUGAGAUGAACAUUUAGUAAUAUGAAGUCUAAAU
This 316-nucleotide unclassified non-coding RNA is filed under the name Hevea brasiliensis (rubber tree). The record is from RNAcentral. Lineage: Eukaryota; Viridiplantae; Streptophyta; Magnoliopsida; Malpighiales; Euphorbiaceae.